Molecule: ribosomal RNA, 465 nt
Filed under: uncultured bacterium
Lineage: Bacteria
Description: partial 16S ribosomal RNA
Rfam family: Bacterial small subunit ribosomal RNA
Source: RNAcentral
CCUACGUGGAGCAGCAGUGGGGAAUAUUGCGCAAUGGGCGAAAGCCUGACGCAGCGACGCCGCGUGAGGGAUGAAGGUCUUCGGAUCGUAAACCUCUGUCAGCAGGGAAGAACGGUCACUGUGCUAAUCAGCAGUGAAUUGACGGUACCUGCAAAGGAAGCACCGGCUAACUCCGUGCCAGCAGCCGCGGUAAUACGGAGGGUGCGAGCGUUAAUCGGAAUUACUGGGCGUAAAGCGCUCGUAGGCGGUAUGUCAAGUCAAGGGUGAAAUCCCCGCGCUCAACGUGGGAACUGCCUUUGAAACUGGCAAACUGGAGUGUGUGAGAGGAUAGUGGAAUUCCAGGUGUAGGAGUGAAAUCCGUAGAUAUCUGGAGGAACAUCAGUGGCGAAGGCGACUAUCUGGCACAUAACUGACGCUGAGGAGCGAAAGCGUGGGUAGCAAACAGGAUUAGAUACCCUAGUAGUC